GUGUCAGCCGCCGCGGUAAUACGGAGGGUGCGAGCGUUAAUCGGAAUUACUGGGCGUAAAGGGUGCGUAGGCGGUUGAAUCAGUCGGAUGUGAAAGCCCCGGGCUUAACCUGGGAAUUGCAUUCGAUACUGUUCGGCUAGAGUACGAUAGAGGGUGGUGGAACUCCAGGUGUAGCGGUGAAAUGCGUAGAUAUCUGGAAGAACACCAGUGGCGAAGGCGGCCACCUGGAUCGUAACUGACGCUGAGGCACGAAAGCGUGGGGAGCAAACAGGAUUAGAUACCCUGGUAGUCCACGCCCUAAACGAUGUAUGCUUGGUGUUAGACGCUUGCGUCUAGUGCCGUAGGUAACCUGUUAAGCAUACCACCUGGGGAGUACGAUCGCAAGGUUGAAACUCAAAUGAAUUGACGG
This 409-nucleotide ribosomal RNA is filed under the name uncultured bacterium. Its description in RNAcentral is "bacterial SSU rRNA". It matches the Rfam family "Bacterial small subunit ribosomal RNA", at positions 505 to 916 of the family's 1533-position model. The record is from RNAcentral.